GAGACAGCAGUAGCCGCGGUAAUACAGAGGGUGCGAGCGUUAAUCGGAUUUACUGGGCGUAAAGCGUGCGUAGGCGGCUUCUUAAGUCGGAUGUGAAAUCCCUGAGCUUAACUUAGGAAUUGCAUUCGAUACUGGGAAGCUAGAGUAUGGGAGAGGAUGGUAGAAUUCCAGGUGUAGCGGUGAAAUGCGUAGAGAUCUGGAGGAAUACCGAUGGCGAAGGCAGCCAUCUGGCCUAAUACUGACGCUGAGGUACGAAAGCAUGGGGAGCAAACAGGAUUAGAUACCCCCGUAGUCCCUGUCUCUUAUAA
RNAcentral lists this ribosomal RNA (308 nucleotides) under uncultured bacterium. RNAcentral's name for it is "partial 16S ribosomal RNA". It matches the Rfam family "Bacterial small subunit ribosomal RNA", at positions 505 to 809 of the family's 1533-position model. The record is from RNAcentral.